AUUGAACGCUGGCGGCAGGCCUAACACAUACAAGUCGAACGGUAACAGGAAACAGCUUGCUGUUUCGCUGACGAGUGGCGGACGGGUGAGUAAUGUCUGGGAAACUGCCUGAUGGAGGGGGAUAACUACUGGAAACGGUAGCUAAUACCGCAUAACGUCGCAAGACCAAAGAGGGGGACCUUCGGGCCUCUUGCCAUCGGAUGUGCCCAGAUGGGAUUAGCUAGUAGGUGGGGUAACGGCUCACCUAGGCGACGAUCCCUAGCUGGUCUGAGAGGAUGACCAGCCACACUGGAACUGAGACACGGUCCAGACUCCUACGGGAGGCAGCAGUGGGGAAUAUUGCACAAUGGGCGCAAGCCUGAUGCAGCCAUGCCGCGUGUAUGAAGAAGGCCUUCGGGUUGUAAAGUACUUUCAGCGGGGAUGAAGGGAGUAAAGUUAAUACCUUUGCUCAUUGACGUUACCCGCAGAAGAAGCACCGGCUAACUCCGUG
Molecule: ribosomal RNA, 490 nt
Filed under: uncultured bacterium
Lineage: Bacteria
Description: partial 16S ribosomal RNA
Rfam family: Bacterial small subunit ribosomal RNA
Source: RNAcentral